UGUGUGUAACAAGUUAUACUUCUGACUUUAAAGAGGAAUCUGUCUGUCUUCCUAUGAUCCAAUAAACAAACAUAAGCCAAAACUUUACUCCACUACUUUAUGAAAAGGAUGGUCCAUUUGGAAAGAAAAUAUAAAAAAAAUUGUUUUCCUCUUCAAUGGGCUCAGGGAGAAACUCAAACUUGUUAUAUGCAGAACCCGAAGAUGAUUGAUUAGCAAACAAAAAAUAGGGAUUGACAAGGUCAAUCAGUCAAGAAUAUUAACUGUUCUUCCAAGGACCUAGGUUUGAUUCCCAGCAAGUACAUGGCAACUAACAACCAUCAUCCGUCUUCUGGCCCUUAUGGGCACUGCAAACACAUGGUGUCUAGGCAUGCAUGCAGGCAAAAGCCUUGUAUGCAUAAAAUAAAAAUAGGCAAAUUUCAAAAACGAAAAAAGAAAAA
Molecule: long non-coding RNA, 437 nt
Filed under: Rattus norvegicus (Norway rat)
Lineage: Eukaryota; Metazoa; Chordata; Mammalia; Rodentia; Muridae
Description: long non-coding RNA NONRATT012968
Source: RNAcentral